CAGUUCUAUUAUAUUGAACAAUUCUUAACCAAGAUGAAAUCAUAUUUUCAAAUUCUAACUGCUCUAAAUUUUUCUUGUUAGGUGAAUAUGAGCAUUGCAAUGCUUCCAUUUUCACAAGAGUUUAACUGGAACGGUGCAACAGCUGGUCUCAUUCAGUCUUCCUUUUUCCGGGGCUAUCUCCCCACUCAGCUUGACUCAAACAUUGGCAGUUUUACUGCAAUACUUCCAAUGUCACAAGAGUUUAACUAAAACAGUGCAACAGUUGGUCUCAUUCACUUUUCCUUUUUCUGGGGCUAUCUCCUCACUCAGAUUCUUGGAGGUAUCUGGGCAAAUAAAAUUAGUGGGAAACUAGUAUUGGAUUUUGGAGUGAUCUGGUCGUCAGCUACAACAGUUUUGACACCUAUUGCUGCCAGAGUUGGGCUUCCUUUCUUGAUUGUCAUGUGUGCCUUUAUGGGGAUUGGUGAGGAGAGUGAGGAAGAAGUCACUAACACUGAGCAAGCUGAAAACUGGUUUUCAUUGACGUAUGCCCAACGCAUAUGUGGUGGGUACUUUGAAUUUAUCAAGUUUUGAUACAUGUUGAGUUCCUGGUAUCUUUUUUCUUGUUCUCAUAUUGUUCUUUAAAUUGAUCUUA
Non-coding RNA from Camellia sinensis, 631 nucleotides. Lineage: Eukaryota; Viridiplantae; Streptophyta; Magnoliopsida; Ericales; Theaceae. The record is from RefSeq and is a predicted model, not a curated record.